GAGGGAGGGAGGGAGGGGGCCCCAGCUGGCAGGAGCGGAGCCAGAGAGAGAAAAGUUUCCCGUAGUCUUCAUUAGUUGACUCCUCUGUGAGCUGCUUCCCCCAGCCAGCGGAGCUCACCCCCAAUAAAGGAAGAAGGGGGGUCUCUUUUUCUUAAGGCCCCAAAGAGUCCAGUGUUUACAAGAUCAGAAAUGCCACGGCCACGUCCUGGCAGAAAGAAAGGCUGAAAUGGAGGACCGUGGCCUUCCUUAUAAGCUCCUUGGCUCCAGAUUCAGCACCAACUUGGUAGAAAAAGCAACCAUGACGCCAGAGAGAGAGCCACAGGAGAGAAGAGCGCAUCAGACCAGCCUGAGAUGAAAGGGAACCGCGCGGAGAAAUACAGAGAAAGGAGGCGGUGGCAGGUCUCUGAACAAACGCGGCAGAGGGCGAGAGAGGCACUCAUAGACAGAGGAGCCCUGGAGUGCCCAGCACAAACCUGGAACCUGCCUGUUAGCUCAGCCUGCCUGUUACACACUUCCCCAGCACUGCAUUUCCUCUUCCCCCUUUCCUAACUGGCAGCCCAGAGUAAUUUCAUAGUAUAUUUAUAUUAAGUCUAGAAGAACACAUCCUGAGACACAGGGGAUAACCUAAUUCUAUAAUGGUAAUUCAUUCACUAGUGAUUAUGCAGUCAGACCCUACUGCAAACAGGACUUAGCACUCUAACUACAGACCCUGACUUCAGAUCAGAGAUGCUGCCAGGAGCUAGAGAUAGAAGACCAUUUAUAUAAAUGAUCCGUGCAGAUAUAGAAGGAGUUUUAAAAAGACAGAAAUAAUAGAAAUACAAAAGGACAGAAAAGAGGCUAGCCAAUGGAAAUUGUCAUUGCCAAUGCCCAGUCUUCCUCCCGUUACUGUUUUAAAGACUGCCUGAGAAAUGUGUAUUAUAAAUACAGCAAAUAAUAUGUGAACUCAAAGAAUGUUCAAUUGUAUUUGGUACACACCAUGUAUGCAAACAUAAUUUAUAGAAUAUGUUUUUUCAUAUACUGGGUAGAUAGGCACUUUGUGUAUAUAUAAUAAUAUGGUGUAUUUUAAUGCAGUUUUAUGUGGAUAUAUUAAUAUCUGGAUGCAUUUUCUAUGCACUGAUUUUAUAUGUCUAUACCUAUGUAGCUAAAUAGAUGCAGGACUGUACAUUCCCUGUGUAGGAUAUAUGGAAACUGUUUAUAUAUGUAAACGAAUUUUACAUGUGGUGGAUAUGCAUGCUUUAUGUAAUCUUUUCUCAGGAGGUUGCUUUUCUGUACAAUAGCUAGAAGUGCUUUUGUAUGUAUAUUUUCUAGAGAAAUAUAUUUUCCAUGCCCAGAAUGUAUAUGUAAUAUAGAUAUCUGUGCGUUUUAGACGGUUUCAAUAUAUUCAUUAUGUCGGCA
Miniopterus natalensis is the source of this 1395-nucleotide long non-coding RNA. RefSeq lists it as uncharacterized. Lineage: Eukaryota; Metazoa; Chordata; Mammalia; Chiroptera; Miniopteridae. The record is from RefSeq and is a predicted model, not a curated record.